GGAUCCAGACUUUGAUUCUGGCUCAGGACGAACGCUGGCGGCGCGCCUAACACAUGCAAGUCGAACGGAGUCAAGAGGAGCUUGCUUUUCUUGACUUAGUGGCGAACGGGUGAGUAACGCGUGAGUAACCUGCCCUGGAGUGGGGGACAACAGUUGGAAACGACUGCUAAUACCGCAUAAGCCCACGGCCCGGCAUCGGGCUGAGGGAAAAGGAUUUAUUCGCUUCAGGAUGGACUCGCGUCCAAUUAGCUAGUUGGUGAGGUAACGGCCCACCAAGGCGACGAUUGGUAGCCGGACUGAGAGGUUGAACGGCCACAUUGGGACUGAGACACGGCCCAGACUCCUACGGGAGGCAGCAGUGGGGGAUAUUGCACAAUGGGGGAAACCCUGAUGCAGCGACGCCGCGUGGAGGAAGAAGGUUUUCGGAUUGUAAACUCCUGUCGUUAGGGACGAUAAUGACGGUACCUAACAAGAAAGCACCGGCUAACUACGUGCCAGCAGCCGCGGUAAAACGUAGGGUGCAAGCGUUGUCCGGAAUUACUGGGUGUAAAGGGAGCGCAGGCGGACCGGCAAGUUGGAAGUGAAAACUAUGGGCUCAACCCAUAAAUUGCUUUCAAAACUGCUGGCCUUGAGUAGUGCAGAGGUAGGUGGAAUUCCCGGUGUAGCGGUGGAAUGCGUAGAUAUCGGGAGGAACACCAGUGGCGAAGGCGACCUACUGGGCACCAACUGACGCUGAGGCUCGAAAGCAUGGGUAGUAAACAGGAUUAGAUACCCUGGUAGUCCAUGCCGUAAACGAUGAUUACUAGGUGUUGGAGGAUUGACCCCUUCAGUGCCGCAGUUAACACAAUAAGUAAUCCACCUGGGGAGUACGACCGCAAGGUUGCAACUCAAAGGAAUUGACGG
Molecule: ribosomal RNA, 903 nt
Filed under: uncultured bacterium
Lineage: Bacteria
Also listed under: 1 other name
Description: bacterial SSU rRNA
Rfam family: Bacterial small subunit ribosomal RNA
Source: RNAcentral